This 247-nucleotide unclassified non-coding RNA is filed under the name Hevea brasiliensis (rubber tree). The record is from RNAcentral. Lineage: Eukaryota; Viridiplantae; Streptophyta; Magnoliopsida; Malpighiales; Euphorbiaceae.
AGAGAGAGAGAGAGAGGUGGAAGGAGUGAAGAGGGAAAGAUGAGGGUUGGGUAAGAUACAGGAAAAACUAAAUAAAUGAAAAAAUAAUAAUAAACAAUAAUUUUAAUUUCUAUUGAUAAUAAAAUAUGUAUAUUUUUUUCAAUUUCAGUCUACUACAAUAAAUUGUUGGAAAAAUUGACUAUAACUGAGAAAACACAGAAUAAUUUGAAAUUUAGGUCAAUUAUUAGUUUGCGCUUAGCCGGUCCCA